Molecule: small nuclear RNA, 117 nt
Filed under: Rhodnius prolixus
Lineage: Eukaryota; Metazoa; Arthropoda; Insecta; Hemiptera; Reduviidae
Description: U12 minor spliceosomal RNA
Rfam family: U12 minor spliceosomal RNA
About the family: Although the U12 sequence is very divergent from that of U2, the two are functionally analogous.
Source: Rfam by way of RNAcentral
GUGCCUUAAACUAAUGAGUAAGGAAAAUAUAGAGCCUUGUUAACUUUGGGUUUAGCUAACAAGUUAGCAAAUGUAUAGUUAUUUAUUUGCCAAGUGGGGAAAGUAGUACUUUUCCAC